Molecule: ribosomal RNA, 495 nt
Filed under: uncultured bacterium
Lineage: Bacteria
Description: partial 16S ribosomal RNA
Rfam family: Bacterial small subunit ribosomal RNA
Source: RNAcentral
GACGAACGCUGGCGGCGUGCCUAAUACAUGCAAGUAGAACGCUGAAGGAGGAGCUUGCUUCUCUGGAUGAGUUGCGAACGGGUGAGUAACGCGUAGGUAACCUGCCUGGUAGCGGGGGAUAACUAUUGGAAACGAUAGCUAAUACCGCAUAAGAGUAGAUGUUGCAUGACAUUUGCUUAAAAGGUGCAAUUGCAUCACUACCAGAUGGACCUGCGUUGUAUUAGCUAGUUGGUGGGGUAACGGCUUAACAAGGCGACGAUACAUAGCCGACCUGGGAGGGUGAUCGGCCACACUGGGACUGGGACACGGCCCAGACUCCUACGGGAGGCAGCAGUAGGGAAUCUUCGGCAAUGGACGGAAGUCUGACCGAGCAACGCCGCGUGAGUGAAGAAGGUUUUCGGAUCGUAAAGCUCUGUUGUAAGAGAAGAACGAGUGUGAGAGUGGAAAGUUCACACUGUGACGGUAUCUUACCAGAAAGGGACGGCUAACUACGUG